UGUGGUGGGUAUUGUUGAACACGACAGUGAAUUUUUUCCAGACACUUUACGAGAAAAAAGUGAACCAGAAAUAUGGUUAUGUUGAAAGGAACUGUGGUUUUUACCAUUAUAAUCGCAUAUUCAAUAUCGUCGAUUCAAUGUGGCAGUGGCAGGUUUGGGUUACCAUCUUUCUUCAGCAGAAGUAAAUCUAAAACUAAGGAGGAUAAACCUACAACAAUACAUCACUUGAUAGAAACGAUGAAGAAAUUCAUAGGGAACUUGUACACCUACAGCAGUAGUUUCAACACUGCGGGUUAUUUGGACGAAUACGG
Long non-coding RNA from Planococcus citri (citrus mealybug), 311 nucleotides. RefSeq lists it as uncharacterized. NCBI's taxonomy places the organism in Eukaryota, Metazoa, Arthropoda, Insecta, Hemiptera, Pseudococcidae. The record is from RefSeq and is a predicted model, not a curated record. The transcript has 3 exons.